Molecule: long non-coding RNA, 357 nt
Organism: Bubalus bubalis (water buffalo)
Lineage: Eukaryota; Metazoa; Chordata; Mammalia; Artiodactyla; Bovidae
Exons: 4
Source: RefSeq, a predicted model, not a curated record
AGGACAGAGAGAAUCAGGCAGAUGGCAGCAUGAAGAGGACUCAGCUUGUUGUUGCUGGCUUUGAAGAGGGACAAAGACAGUCAUGAGCCAAAGAGUCAAGUUGGGUGUUAGAGUUCCAGGACAGUAACAGAAACGAUAUUUGUUCAGGCCUGAAUCAGCCAAAACUGUGAAUAACACAGCUCCUGAACCAGCUGGAUAUCUGAGCUUUUCUUAGACACUUGGGGUUUUUUGUGAUGUUGGAACUCCGAGAUCAUACAAGCUCAACUCAUUGAAUUUGGACAGCAAAUUUGGACUUACUCAAGGUGCAAGCAGUAUUAAGAUCUUGAUGACACCUCUUCCACAAGUCUCUACCAAAAA